This 760-nucleotide ribosomal RNA is filed under the name Escherichia coli. RNAcentral's name for it is "partial 23S ribosomal RNA". It matches the Rfam family "Bacterial large subunit ribosomal RNA", at positions 2144 to 2898 of the family's 2925-position model. The record is from RNAcentral. Lineage: Bacteria; Pseudomonadati; Pseudomonadota; Gammaproteobacteria; Enterobacterales; Enterobacteriaceae.
UAGGUGGGAGGCUUUGAAGUGUGGACGCCAGUCUGCAUGGAGCCGACCUUGAAAUACCACCCUUUAAUGUUUGAUGUUCUAACGUGGACCCGUAAUCCGGGUUGCGGACAGUGUCUGGUGGGUAGUUUGACUGGGGCGGUCUCCUCCUAAAGAGUAACGGAGGAGCACGAAGGUUGGCUAAUCCUGGUCGGACAUCAGGAGGUUAGUGCAAUGGCAUAAGCCAGCUUGACUGCGAGCGUGACGGCGCGAGCAGGUGCGAAAGCAGGUCAUAGUGAUCCGGUGGUUCUGAAUGGAAGGGCCAUCGCUCAACGGAUAAAAGGUACUCCGGGGAUAACAGGCUGAUACCGCCCAAGAGUUCAUAUCGACGGCGGUGUUUGGCACCUCGAUGUCGGCUCAUCACAUCCUGGGGCUGAAGUAGGUCCCAAGGGUAUGGCUGUUCGCCAUUUAAAGUGGUACGCGAGCUGGGUUUAGAACGUCGUGAGACAGUUCGGUCCCUAUCUGCCGUGGGCGCUGGAGAACUGAGGGGGGCUGCUCCUAGUACGAGAGGACCGGAGUGGACGCAUCACUGGUGUUCGGGUUGUCAUGCCAAUGGCACUGCCCGGUAGCUAAAUGCGGAAGAGAUAAGUGCUGAAAGCAUCUAAGCACGAAACUUGCCCCGAGAUGAGUUCUCCCUGACUCCUUGAGAGUCCUGAAGGAACGUUGAAGACGACGACGUUGAUAGGCCGGGUGUGUAAGCGCAGCGAUGCGUUGAGCUAACCGG